Tachysurus fulvidraco (yellow catfish) is the source of this 1684-nucleotide long non-coding RNA. RefSeq lists it as uncharacterized. Lineage: Eukaryota; Metazoa; Chordata; Actinopteri; Siluriformes; Bagridae. The transcript is spliced from 3 exons. The record is from RefSeq and is a predicted model, not a curated record.
CACUCUCUGUCUGUCGGUCUGUCUCAGUCUCUGUCUCUGUCUGUCUCACUCUCUGUCUGUAUGUCUGUCCCACCCCAGAAUUUAAUAUAUCUGUGCAGAAAUAUGUACAUAGCCUUCAUUAAUCUGUGAAACUAAUGGGCUAAAUAUUAUAGUCCAUUUUCUGUAGUAAGCUCAGAAUUUCUAGACCUUUGUGAGAAGAUGUUGUUUGAUCAGUUACAGGUUUAAACCCUGGUUAUUGGUUAUUGGGUGUCAUGUCAAUACCAAUCUACACCUGUGGCAUACACACUAUACAGCCUGUGGUGUGUGGAGAGUUAAUGACCACAGCAAUCUACACUCACUAAAGAUAGGAGGGGUUUUCCUGAAAUAAUCACAGCCUGGGAAGUCUGGGAAUUGUUUUUGUCUCUUAGUUCCAGUGAAGGGAAACUCGAGGACUUUCUGUACAACUUUGCGGGAACAUUUUGUGAACAAAAUAAAAUCGGAGGCAUAGAAGCCUUUAUUAUUGCCACAUAUACAUUACAGCACAGUGGAAUUCUUAUCCCAACACACACAUCCCAACUUUGGAGUCAGAGCACAGGGGCAGCCAUGAUAAAGCACCACUAGAGCAGGGAGUGUUAAGGGCCAUGCUUAAGGGCCCAACAGUGGCUGUGCUGGAGCUUGAACCCUGAUCUUCCAAACAACAACCAAAAGCCUCGACCAUGUGAGCCACCACUGUCCCGAGUGUGUAUGUAUGUAUGUAUGUAUGUAUGUAUGUAUGUAUGUAUGUAUGUAUGUAUAUGAGUGUGUGUGUGUCAGUUCAGUGUGUGCACGUUGGUCAGGUGUGUACAUACAUUUGACUAUAUAGCGUAAAGUGUGUGUGUGUGUGUGUCUGUUUGGUAUUUCGAAUGCUACCGUCGUCUGUACAGUAUUUUCAGAAACAGGUUACCAAGCGGUAACAAUAACAAUCAUCCGUCUCAAUAAAAUCUGCGUCUAUCAUAAACAACAGGGAGCUAUUUACUCCAUUAGGUGCCAUAAAACAAGUCUAUAAAGCAGACUUGGCCUGUUCCUCAACUUACUGCUCACAGGUGGAUCGUAGCCUGCUCAGGAUUACCACGUACUCCACACUACGCUCCUCUGUAGCCGGCAUCCGCUCACAUCAUGUUUUCUCAUCUCCAGCUGAGAAGGUACGACGGAGGGGUAUAACGACCGCGCCGUCUCCAGCCCGAGGCUCCGACACACACGCCAGCACCUUGUGAAAGAGGCCUCCUGUAGCUGGAGCCAACGAGGGCUUUGGGUCCAGCGAUGGGAAGCAGAUGUCAGGCAAAAGCCCCGCCGUUUCCCUUUACGAGAAAAGAAACCGACUUGAAUUGGCGAAAUCACAAGCACAGGAUUUUUCUCCUCCAAGUGAAGACACGCAUGCAACGAAUUUCUACGAGAGACGUACUCGCGUUCAACUCGCGUUCAACUCGACACCGAACACGUCUCGACUCGAAUCCGUGGAAAAUCGGCGACGUUUGAAAAAUCCCAAGUUGCUAAUAUCGCGGAAUAUACGUUAUUUAUUGUACUUUAAUUCCUGUGAACGCAAAAUCAUGAAACCCGUGAGGAACAGAAUGAAAGCACGACAGGGAAGAUCACGUCACAAGGUGUAUGAUUGUUGUGGACAAAUAAAAUUCGAAUUUAAAUGAACUCACAUUAAAUCGGUUUACAA